AUCCUAGUGCAAGGGUUUUACACGUGUCAGUGAGGAGACAUCCGAGACCGUGUUUUUGCUAGUUGAAAACUACCUAGUUUGACCGCUCCAGAUGGCCUUCGGGUCGUCUGGGAAUUUUUGAAAAACACACUGCCCUGACUCCUCGUUUGUGG
This is a small nuclear RNA of Aspergillus terreus NIH2624, 152 nucleotides long. It matches the Rfam family "U4 spliceosomal RNA". Rfam says of the family: U4 small nuclear RNA (U4 snRNA) is a component of the major U2-dependent spliceosome. The structure of U4 snRNA from yeast and human has been reported. U4 snRNA presents a k-turn RNA motif in the 5p-SL related to recognition of Snu13 protein. NCBI's taxonomy places the organism in Eukaryota, Fungi, Ascomycota, Eurotiomycetes, Eurotiales, Aspergillaceae. The record is from Rfam.